This 423-nucleotide ribosomal RNA is filed under the name uncultured Schwartzia sp. RNAcentral describes it as "bacterial SSU rRNA". It matches the Rfam family "Bacterial small subunit ribosomal RNA", at positions 358 to 774 of the family's 1533-position model. Lineage: Bacteria; Bacillati; Bacillota; Negativicutes; Selenomonadales; Selenomonadaceae. The record is from RNAcentral.
GGAAUCUUCCGCAAUGGGCGAAAGCCUGACGGAGCAACGCCGCGUGAGUGAAGAAGGUCUUCGGAUCGUAAAGCUCUGUUGUCGGGGACGAAGGGGCAGAUCAGGAAAUGGGUCUGCUUAGACGGUACCUGACGAGGAAGCCACGGCUAACUACGUGCCAGCAGCCGCGGUAAUACGUAGGCGGCAAGCGUUGUCCGGAAUCAUUGGGCGUAAAGGGAGCGCAGGUGGGACGGUAAGUCUUUCUUAAAAGUGCGGGGCUCACCCCCGUGAGGGGAAAGAAACUAUCGUUCUUGAGUGCAGGAGAGGAAAGCGGAAUUCCUAGUGUAGCGGUGAAAUGCGUAGAUAUUAGGAAGAACACCAGUGGCGAAGGCGGCUUUCUGGACUGUAACUGACACUGAGGCUCGAAAGCCAGGGGAGCGAACG